Molecule: long non-coding RNA, 1863 nt
Organism: Cygnus olor (mute swan)
Lineage: Eukaryota; Metazoa; Chordata; Aves; Anseriformes; Anatidae
Exons: 3
Source: RefSeq, a predicted model, not a curated record
CUUGGUGCUCAAAGCCGGACAGGGCUCUGCUAGCCGUAACUGAGGACUGCAGCAAGGAAAGGGCGACGCCACUCUCCAGUCGCUGUGUGUUUUAUCCCUUUCCCAGCGGGCAAGCUGGAGUGUUUCAGCCGAGUCACCUGUCAGAGCAAGAGCGAUGGCGGCCUUUGGUUACUGCCCAGCUGCCGCUCUGCCUUCCCCCGGGAUAAAAGGGGCUGGCACUAACAACUGUGCACAGCUGAACCCCAAAGCACCUGUGCGACACAGGUGUCUGGGACCAGCUUCCAGCGCCAUGCCACGUGCCCACAGCCUGCGUCCUUCCCCCAGACAGCUCCGAGGCUGGAGCCGGUCUUGCUGAUGCAACCCCGCGAGGGCCGGGGUGAAGGAGAGUGCAGAGCUGUGUGUCAGAGGUAGGAGCUCCCCUUUGGCGAUGAUGGAAAGCACAGCGCAUUCAAAUCAAAGACAGGACGGGGGUUGCUUUGAAUCGCUGUGUUCCAGAGCUAUCUGAGGCAAUCUUCCUUCGCUGCACACAGCGAGGUAGCGAGGGAAAAGAUCAUAGUGCAGCCCAGGUUUUUUGUGUGAACAUGUCCAGGCUGGCACGCAGCUGGGGUAAGGACAAGGUGCUUCUGUAGGUUUGAUUCGUGUCAGAGCUAGGGGCAGAACUAGGGAGGGAGUGGGAAGCCUGAAUAUCUGGUCUGCUGCUGGAAAAUAUAGGCCACUGAGUAAGAUGGGGCAGGCUUGUUUGAUCUAGCUUGAUAUGCUAGGCGUUUGUGCUUAGAGCUCUCUUUCCCAGUGUCUGCUGCUUAUUCCUGUUAAAGGCAAAAAAAAGGUACAAAACAUAAAGGAUUAAAACAAGUGAAAGAGCUCUCACCUUCCUGCAGGAGUAAAUUUUGGAGUAUUUUUUAUUAUUCGCUCAGCGUUGUUGAUAUGCUUGACUCUCUGUUACAUGUAAAGAUAAUCCCGCCAUGAAGAACUCAGACUGCAGUGAUAAGGGAGGCCAGUUGGUGCAUCUCUUUUGUCCCACCCCUUCAGUGAAAGAUUAUUCCUUGUACCUUAUCAAAAGGAAGCAGCCUUUCAUGUGCUGUACCUUGUCAGCUCUUCUCCUGCUCAUCGCUGUGCUCGCUCAGCUGUGCUCAUUGCAUCACUUGUGCUGGAGGGGAGGCAGCAAGAGGUGGAACCGUCGGGGACAGCAGCAGUCGUGUGAUCCGUGGCCCUCUAGUCACAUCGUCCUAACCAGGACCUGCAACCUAAGAAGAGACGCCAGCAUUCCUUGAGGACUGCACUGCACAUGCUGAGGACAAAGAGCAGCUCCUUCUGGCUUUUUGCAUGAUUAGUUGCAGCUCUCCGCCUGGAUCUUCCUUGUUCCGAUGGUUUGAUUUUUACAGUAGUGUGCUGUGCAUAUUUUGCAAGUUACAGCUUGAAACUUCCUCCUAGCAGCAGGCCUGUCAUUUGAAGGAACCCCACCCUGCUCUCCCUUGAAGAUGUGCAAUCCAGGCUGUGUCUGAGCAUGCCUGGGGAGGCAGGUGCAGCCUGGCUGGAUCCUCCACACUGCCUACAAAUAAACACUACUUAAACAAAUUGGACUAAUAACAUUCAAGACUCAAGUAAUAAGCAGGGCAGUUUCUGCUCUGUAGUCUUUAUUCCGUGCUUCUCCCAUCCCCUCUCCCUCUGCUUUAUAUUCUGAAAUAUGUGCCACGAUCACAUUGCUGUGGCAAUUAAUUACAGCACAACUUUAUAGCACUGGAUAACAAUAGCAGUAGAUAAUACGUAGCACCUUCAUUGAAAGCAACAACGCCAGAUUAAAGUUGCUUUAAAAAAAAAAGCACGUUUCCUUCCUGCUGUUGCAAAUAAAGAGCUACAUGAAAU